UGUCUCUAUUUGAGCAGCAAGGAGGCUCAGAAAAAUGUUAUGAAUGAAAGACCAGAAUUCUUAAUUCUCUAUCUUCUUCCUCCUUCUCUAAAGUUUUUUUCUUCCUCCUUCUCCCUUAUUUUUCUAUCUUCCGUGUGUUACUUACCAUGGUGUCACUGUUCUCAACCUCGAGAGUUAUGGUCUUGCAGGUUAGGGUUUUGACGAAUAUCUACAUCUUUUAUUCUCCCUGACUUUCUUUUUGUAAUCAGCCUUCCCUAAAGAGCUAACAACUCGAAUGGUUGAUUCUUGGCUUUUAUACUUCAAUUUUCUAGGGUUCUUUUUGGAGACGAUGAUGUAAUUGGGCCCUUUCUUAGCACAAAAAGGAAAAGAAAUAUUGGGCUUUAUAAACUUGCUCACCCAAUUUUCAAUCUUAAUUAACUAUUAUACAUGUCAUAUAUGUUGAGAUCUUUUAGGUUUGUAACACUUGUAUAUUGAUGUAUAGGGUUAGCUGAAAGGUUAAAUUAGUUAAUACUAAGUUUGUAUGUUGAUGUGUGGGUUGUUCAUGUAUAUUUAAAAAAAACAUGUUAUAUGUCGAUUGAGUCUUAACUCGAUUGAUAUCGGUAUUGUUGUCAGUGCAAGAGGACGUGGGUUUGAGUGCGG
Molecule: long non-coding RNA, 639 nt
Filed under: Gossypium barbadense (sea-island cotton)
Lineage: Eukaryota; Viridiplantae; Streptophyta; Magnoliopsida; Malvales; Malvaceae
Description: long non-coding RNA (GBAR_LNC015570)
Source: RNAcentral